This 253-nucleotide ribosomal RNA is filed under the name uncultured bacterium. RNAcentral's name for it is "partial 16S ribosomal RNA". It matches the Rfam family "Bacterial small subunit ribosomal RNA", at positions 524 to 776 of the family's 1533-position model. The record is from RNAcentral.
UACGUAGGGGGCAAGCGUUGUCCGGAAUCAUUGGGCGUAAAGCGCGUGUAGGCGGCCCGGUAAGUCCGCUGUGAAAGUCCAGGGCUCAACCCUGGGAUGCCGGUGGAUACUGUCGGGCUCGAGUCCGGAAGAGGAGUGUGGAAUUCCUGGUGUAGCGGUGAAAUGCGCAGAUAUCAGGAGGAACACCAAUGGCGAAGGCAGCACUCUGGGCCGUGACUGACGCUGAGACGCGAAAGCGUGGGGAGCAAACAGG